CUAACAAGGAUUCCCUCAGUAACGGCGAGUGAAGCGGGAAGAGCUCAAAUUUGAAAUCUCCGAUGCUUGCAUCGGCGAGUUGUAGUUGCGAGAAGCACUUUCUAGGCGGAUCGACGGUGCCUAAGUUGCUUGGAACAGCACGUCGCAGAGGGUGACAACCCCGUCUGUGGCGCCGCCGGCCGCUGACGAUGUGCUUUCGAAGAGUCGGGUUGUUUGGGAAUGCAGCCCAAAAUGGGUGGUAAACUCCAUCUAAAGCUAAAUACNGGCGUGAGACCGAUAGCGAAGGAAACGAAUGCGCUCAGCAAUGCGCCCUCUGAGAUUCAGCCGGUGGGUGGUGGCGGCGCCGGGUUUGCGGAUCUGAAUGGACCGCGGCCCGGCGCUCGCCUCUCCCCGCCGUCGCACUUCUCUCGGGCGCGCGUCAACGUGGGUUGGGACUGGGUCUGAAAGGUACCGGGAAGGUAGGGUGUGGGCCUCCGGGUCCGUUCUGUUACAGCCCGGUUCUCUCAUGGCUCGGGCCCGACCGAGGACUGAUGCAGGGCAUGCCUCCUGUGGCUAGGGUCCCGUCCUUCCGGCCGGCUGUCCAGUGCGGUGGACUGCUUGCAGUCUCCGCGACNNCUGCCGGUCGUUGGGGUGGUGAUCU
RNAcentral lists this ribosomal RNA (640 nucleotides) under Leptoria phrygia. RNAcentral describes it as "eukaryotic LSU rRNA". The stretch from base 1 to 281 matches the Rfam family "Eukaryotic large subunit ribosomal RNA", at positions 65 to 358 of the family's 3401-position model. The record is from RNAcentral. Lineage: Eukaryota; Metazoa; Cnidaria; Anthozoa; Scleractinia; Merulinidae.